This 400-nucleotide ribosomal RNA is filed under the name uncultured bacterium. Its description in RNAcentral is "bacterial SSU rRNA". It matches the Rfam family "Bacterial small subunit ribosomal RNA", at positions 87 to 522 of the family's 1533-position model. The record is from RNAcentral.
UCACACAGGGAACAGACGGGUGAGUAACGCGUGGGAAUCUACCCAUCACUACGGAACAACUCCGGGAAACUGGAGCUAAUACCGUAUACGACCGAGAGGUGAAAGAUUUAUCGGUGAUGGAUGAGCCCGCGUUGGAUUAGCUAGUUGGUGGGGUAAAGGCCUACCAAGGCGACGAUCCAUAGCUGGUCUGAGAGGAUGAUCAGCCACAUUGGGACUGAGACACGGCCCAAACUCCUACGGGAGGCAGCAGUGGGGAAUAUUGGACAAUGGGCGCAAGCCUGAUCCAGCCAUGCCGCGUGAGUGAUGAAGGCCUUAGGGUUGUAAAGCUCUUUUGUGCGGGAAGAUAAUGACGGUACCGCAAGAAUAAGCCCCGGCUAACUUCGUGCCAGCAGCCGCGGUA